RNAcentral lists this ribosomal RNA (1382 nucleotides) under Bacteroides fragilis. RNAcentral's name for it is "bacterial SSU rRNA". It matches the Rfam family "Bacterial small subunit ribosomal RNA". Lineage: Bacteria; Pseudomonadati; Bacteroidota; Bacteroidia; Bacteroidales; Bacteroidaceae. The record is from RNAcentral. RNAcentral also lists the same sequence under 1 other name.
CGAGGGGCAUCAGGAAGAAAGNUUGCUUUCUUUGCUGGCGACCGGCGCACGGGUGAGUAACACGUAUCCAACCUGCCCUUUACUCGGGGAUAGCCUUUCGAAAGAAAGAUUAAUACCCGAUGGCAUAAUGAUUCCGCAUGGUUUCAUUAUUAAAGGAUUCCGGUAAAGGAUGGGGAUGCGUUCCAUUAGGUUGUUGGUGAGGUAACGGCUCACCAAGCCUUCGAUGGAUAGGGGUUCUGAGAGGAAGGUCCCCCACAUUGGAACUGAGACACGGUCCAAACUCCUACGGGAGGCAGCAGUGAGGAAUAUUGGUCAAUGGGCGCUAGCCUGAACCAGCCAAGUAGCGUGAAGGAUGAAGGCUCUAUGGGUCGUAAACUUCUUUUAUAUAAGAAUAAAGUGCAGUAUGUAUACUGUUUUGUAUGUAUUAUAUGAAUAAGGAUCGGCUAACUCCGUGCCAGCAGCCGCGGUAAUACGGAGGAUCCGAGCGUUAUCCGGAUUUAUUGGGUUUAAAGGGAGCGUAGGUGGACUGGUAAGUCAGUUGUGAAAGUUUGCGGCUCAACCGUAAAAUUGCAGUUGAUACUGUCAGUCUUGAGUACAGUAGAGGUGGGCGGAAUUCGUGGUGUAGCGGUGAAAUGCUUAGAUAUCACGAAGAACUCCGAUUGCGAAGGCAGCUCACUGGACUGCAACUGACACUGAUGCUCGAAAGUGUGGGUAUCAAACAGGAUUAGAUACCCUGGUAGUCCACACAGUAAACGAUGAAUACUCGCUGUUUGCGAUAUACAGUAAGCGGCCAAGCGAAAGCAUUAAGUAUUCCACCUGGGGAGUACGCCGGCAACGGUGAAACUCAAAGGAAUUGACGGGGGCCCGCACAAGCGGAGGAACAUGUGGUUUAAUUCGAUGAUACGCGAGGAACCUUACCCGGGCUUAAAUUGCAGUGGUAUGAUGUGGGAACAUGUCAGUGAGCAAUCACCGCUGUGAAGGUGCUGCAUGGUUGUCGUCAGCUCGUGCCGUGAGGUGUCGGCUUAAGUGCCAUAACGAGCGCAACCCUUAUCUUUAGUUACUAACAGGUUAUGCUGAGGACUCUAGAGAGACUGCCGUCGUAAGAUGUGAGGAAGGUGGGGAUGACGUCAAAUCAGCACGGCCCUUACGUCCGGGGCUACACACGUGUUACAAUGGGGGGUACAGAAGGCAGCUAGCGGGUGACCGUAUGCUAAUCCCAAAAGCCUCUCUCAGUUCGGAUCGAAGUCUGCAACCCGACUUCGUGAAGCUGGAUUCGCUAGUAAUCGCGCAUCAGCCACGGCGCGGUGAAUACGUUCCCGGGCCUUGUACACACCGCCCGUCAAGCCAUGGGAGCCGGGGGUACCUGAAGUACGUAACCGCAA